This 301-nucleotide ribosomal RNA is filed under the name uncultured bacterium. RNAcentral describes it as "partial 16S ribosomal RNA". It matches the Rfam family "Bacterial small subunit ribosomal RNA", at positions 509 to 807 of the family's 1533-position model. The record is from RNAcentral.
CAGUCGCCACGGGAAUACGUAGGGUGCAAGCGUUAAUCGGAAUUACUGGGCGUAAAGCGUGCGCAGGCGGUUAUAUAAGACAGAUGUGAAAUCCCCGGGCUCAACCUGGGAACUGCAUUUGUGACUGUAUAGCUAGAGUACGGCAGAGGGGGAUGGAAUUCCGCGUGUAGCAGUGAAAUGCGUAGAUAUGCGGAUGAACACCGAUGGCGAAGGCAAUCCCCUGGGCCUGUACUGACGCUCAUGCACGAAAGCGUGGGGAGCAAACAGGAUUAGAUACCCCGGUAGUCCCUGUCUCUUAUAC